Nycticebus coucang (slow loris) is the source of this 92-nucleotide small nucleolar RNA. RefSeq annotates it as small nucleolar RNA SNORA24. The transcript has a single exon. The record is from RefSeq and is a predicted model, not a curated record. Lineage: Eukaryota; Metazoa; Chordata; Mammalia; Primates; Lorisidae.
AUCUGGAAGCCAUGGAAGAACAUAUUCCUGUUUAUUGGCAAAGCUGCCACCAUUUAAUUGGUAUCAGAUUCUGACUUGCACAAGUAACAUUC